Long non-coding RNA from Cyprinus carpio carpio, 530 nucleotides. The record is from Ensembl. Lineage: Eukaryota; Metazoa; Chordata; Actinopteri; Cypriniformes; Cyprinidae.
UUAAGGAGUGGCUUUAGUUCAGAUCCAUUAAAGAAGCUCAUGCAUAUGUUCUGCCAGUAAAGCAGAAAGUUUCCCAGCGUCAACGCAAACAGAACAGUCCUGAGGAGCUUCAUUAACUCCAACAUAUGGAGGCUGGAAAAAUUUCCACUUGGCUCAAUUUGUAGAAGUCUGUGAUGGAUGGAAUGAAUUUUUACUAUAAAGUGCAAGUGUGUAAAUGCUGAUCCAAUCUUGUGUGAAAUCAGUGUGCCAAACAUCAGAUGCGAACACAAUUCUCCUGCACUGUCGUUCAAAACAAAAAUGGACAUUUUUCUGUGCAGUUAUAUUGAGGUACUUUUUUUUUUCGCUCAUUUCUUUGUUUUUGUCAUUCUAUGAUCAUUCAUUCAAUUGUUUGUUCCAUCAUCAUUAAUUGGUUCUGUCUGUUGUUUUAUGUAUUGUUCAUACUAUCGUUUGUUCUAACUUUUCUAUCAUUUGCUCUAUAUAUUGUUCUGUCUGUCUGUAUUAAAAAUUAAUUAACACCUUAAUUAAAUAAA